Molecule: ribosomal RNA, 492 nt
Filed under: uncultured bacterium
Lineage: Bacteria
Description: partial 16S ribosomal RNA
Rfam family: Bacterial small subunit ribosomal RNA
Source: RNAcentral
AGUGAACGCUGGCGAUAGGCCUAACACAUGCAAGUCGAACGGCAGCACAGUAAGAGCUUGCUCUUACGGGUGGCGAGUGGCGGGCGGGUGAGGAAUACAUCGGAAUCUACUUUUUCGUGGGGGAUAACGUAGGGAAACUUACGCUAAUACCGCAUACGACCUACGGGUGAAAGCAGGGGAUCUUCGGACCUUGCGCGAUUGAAUGAGCCGAUGUCGGAUUAGCUAGUUGGCGGGGUAAAGGCCCACCAAGGCGACGAUCCGUAGCUGGUCUGAGAGGAUGAUCAGACACACUGGAACUGAGACACGGUCCAGACUCCUACGGGAGGCAGCAGUGGGGAAUAUUGGACAAUGGGCGCAAGCCUGAUCCAGCCAUACCGCGUGGGUGAAGAAGGCCUUCGGGUUGUAAAGCCCUUUUGUUGGGAAAGAAAAGCAGCAGGUUAAUACCCCGCUGUUCUGACGGUACCCAAAGAAUAAGCACCGGCUAACUUCGUG